Molecule: ribosomal RNA, 426 nt
Filed under: Salmonella enterica subsp. enterica serovar Newport
Lineage: Bacteria; Pseudomonadati; Pseudomonadota; Gammaproteobacteria; Enterobacterales; Enterobacteriaceae
Description: bacterial SSU rRNA
Rfam family: Bacterial small subunit ribosomal RNA
Source: RNAcentral
AAAUUGAAGAGUUUGAUCAUGGCUCAGAUUGAACGCUGGCGGCAGGCCUAACACAUGCAAGUCGAACGGUAACAGGAAGCAGCUUGCUGUUUCGCUGACGAGUGGCGGACGGGUGAGUAAUGUCUGGGAAACUGCCUGAUGGAGGGGGAUAACUACUGGAAACGGUGGCUAAUACCGCAUAACGUCGCAAGACCAAAGAGGGGGACCUUCGGGCCUCUUGCCAUCAGAUGUGCCCAGAUGGGAUUAGCUAGUUGGUGAGGUAACGGCUCACCAAGGCGACGAUCCCUAGCUGGUCUGAGAGGAUGACCAGCCACACUGGAACUGAGACACGGUCCAGACUCCUACGGGAGGCAGCAGUGGGGAAUAUUGCACAAUGGGCGCAAGCCUGAUGCAGCCAUGCCGCGUGUAUGAAGAAGGCCUUCGGGU